GGCGCACGGGUGAGUAACACGUAGGUAAUCUACCUUUGGAUUGGGAAUAACACCGAGGAAUCGGUGCUAAUACCGAAUAAUGCAGCGGCACCUAAUGGUGACAGUUGUUAAAGCGGGGGAUCGCAAGACCUCGCGUCUAAAGAGGAGCCUGCGGCGGAUUAGCUAGUUGGUAAGGUAGCGGCUUACCAAGGCGAUGAUCCGUAGCCGGCCUGAGAGGGCGGUCGGCCACACUGACACUGACAUACGGGUCAGACUCCUACGGGAGGCAGCAGUCGGGAAUUUUGGGCAAUGGGCGAAAGCCUGACCCAGCAACGCCGCGUGAAGGAUGAAAUCCCUCGGGAUGUAAACUUCGCAAGAACGGGAAGAAUAAGUCGGUGCUAACACCAUCGGCGAUGACGGUACUGUUUGUAAGCUCCGGCUAACUCCGUGCCAGCCGNCGCGG
Molecule: ribosomal RNA, 442 nt
Filed under: uncultured bacterium
Lineage: Bacteria
Description: bacterial SSU rRNA
Rfam family: Bacterial small subunit ribosomal RNA
Source: RNAcentral